RNAcentral lists this ribosomal RNA (458 nucleotides) under uncultured bacterium. RNAcentral's name for it is "partial 16S ribosomal RNA". It matches the Rfam family "Bacterial small subunit ribosomal RNA", at positions 338 to 795 of the family's 1533-position model. The record is from RNAcentral.
CCUACGGGUGGCAGCAGUGGGGAAUAUUGCACAAUGGGGGAAACCCUGAUGCAGCGACGCCGCGUGAGUGAAGAAGUAUUUCGGUAUGUAAAGCUCUAUCAGCAGGGAAGAAAUAGCGACCUUUGGGUCGCCAGACGGUACCUGGCUAAUAAGCCCCGGAUAACUACGUUCCAGCAGCCGCGGUAAUACGUAGGUGGCAAGCGCUAUCCGGAUUUACUGGGGGUAAAGGGAGCGUAGACGGAAGCACAAGUCUGAAGUGAAAUGCCGGGGCUUAACCCCGGAACUGCUUUGGAAACUGUGCAGCUAGAGUGCAGGAGAGGUAAGUGGAAUUCCUAGGGUAGCGGUGAAAUGCGUAGAUAUUAGGAGGAACACCAGUGGCGAAGGCGGCUUACUGGACUGUAACUGACGUUGAGGCUCGAAAGCGUGGGGAGCAAACAGGAUUAGAUACCCCAGUAGUC